RNAcentral lists this ribosomal RNA (497 nucleotides) under uncultured bacterium. Its description in RNAcentral is "partial 16S ribosomal RNA". It matches the Rfam family "Bacterial small subunit ribosomal RNA", at positions 28 to 507 of the family's 1533-position model. The record is from RNAcentral.
GAUGAACGCUGGCGGCGUGCCUAAUACAUGCAAGUCGAGCGAACGGACGAGAAGCUUGCUUCUCUGAUGUUAGCGGCGGACGGGUGAGUAACACGUGGAUAACCUACCUAUAAGACUGGGAUAACUUCGGGAAACCGGAGCUAAUACCGGAUGAUAUUUUGAACCGCAUGGUUCAAAAGUGAAAGACGGUCUUGCUGUCACUUAUAGAUGGAUCCGCGCUGCAUUAGCUAGUUGGUAAGGUAACGGCUUACCAAGGCAACGAUGCAUAGCCGACCUGAGAGGGUGAUCGGCCACACUGGAACUGAGACACGGUCCAGACUCCUACGGGAGGCAGCAGUAGGGAAUCUUCCGCAAAGGGCGAAAGCCUGACGGAGCAACGCCGCGUGAGUGAUGAAGGUCUUCGGAUCGUAAAACUCUGUUAUUAGGGAAGAACAUAUGUGUAAGUAACUGUACACAUCUUGACGGUACCUAAUCAGAAAGCCACGGCUAACUACGUG